CGGCGGACGGGUGAGUAACGCGUGGGUAACCUGCCUCAUACAGGGGGAUAACAGUUGGAAACGGCUGCUAAUACCGCAUAAGCGCACAAUACCGCAUGGUACGGUGUGAAAAACUCCGGUGGUAUGAGAUGGACCCGCGUCUGAUUAGGUAGUUGGUGAGGUAACGGCCCACCAAGCCGACGAUCAGUAGCCGACCUGAGAGGGUGGCCGGCCACAUUGGGACUGAGACACGGCCCAA
Molecule: ribosomal RNA, 238 nt
Filed under: uncultured bacterium
Lineage: Bacteria
Description: partial 16S ribosomal RNA
Rfam family: Bacterial small subunit ribosomal RNA
Source: RNAcentral